UACAGAGACCUCAAGCGUUAUCCGGAAUCAUUGGGCGUAAAGCGUACCGAUAGGUGGUUUUGCAAGUCAGAGGUGAAAUCUCAAGGCUCAACUUUGAGACUGUCCUUUGAAACUGCACAACUAGAGGGGCAAAGAGGAAGCUGGAACGAACGGUGUAGUAGUGAAAUGCGUUGAUAUCGUUCGGAACACCAAUAGCGUAGGCAGGCUUCUGGGUGCCACCUGACACUGCUAGGACGAAAGCGUGGGUAGCGAAGUGGG
This 258-nucleotide ribosomal RNA is filed under the name uncultured bacterium. RNAcentral's name for it is "partial 16S ribosomal RNA". It matches the Rfam family "Bacterial small subunit ribosomal RNA", at positions 524 to 777 of the family's 1533-position model. The record is from RNAcentral.